CUUGAAAUUUGGCAGGUAGGCUCCUUAUAAGACGUAGGCAUCCGCUAAGAACGGAUUUUACGAAAUUCGACCCCUAAGGGGGUUAAACGGGGGUUGGAAGUUUGUAUGAAAGUCCUAUGUGUUUGAAGUAAGAGACUUGAAAUUUAAAAUGUAUGCUCUAGAGAUAUAGUGAGAAGGUGUUCAAAUAAUGCAUCUUUAGAAAUCAACUCCCUUUUAGGGUUAAAACGGGGUAUGGUAAGUUGACUCACUCAUCACGAAAUCUCCGAAGCUAUAAC
Molecule: unclassified non-coding RNA, 275 nt
Filed under: Melitaea cinxia (Glanville fritillary)
Lineage: Eukaryota; Metazoa; Arthropoda; Insecta; Lepidoptera; Nymphalidae
Description: misc RNA ENSMCXG00005000481.1
Source: RNAcentral